UACGUAGGCAGCAAGCGUUGUUCGGAAUUACUGGGCGUAAAGCGUGCGCAGGCGGUGAUGUAAGACAGAUGUGAAAUCCUCGGGCUCAACCUGGGAACUGCAUUUGUGACUGCAUCGCUGGAGUGCGGCAGAGGGGGAUGGAAUUCCGCGUGUAGCAGUGAAAUGCGUAGAUAUGCGGAGGAACACCGAUGGCGAAGGCAAUCCCCUGGGCCUGCACUGACGCUCAUGCACGAAAGCGUGGGGAGCAAACAGG
Molecule: ribosomal RNA, 253 nt
Filed under: uncultured bacterium
Lineage: Bacteria
Description: partial 16S ribosomal RNA
Rfam family: Bacterial small subunit ribosomal RNA
Source: RNAcentral